Molecule: ribosomal RNA, 458 nt
Filed under: uncultured bacterium
Lineage: Bacteria
Description: partial 16S ribosomal RNA
Rfam family: Bacterial small subunit ribosomal RNA
Source: RNAcentral
CCUACGGGUGGCAGCAGUGGGGAAUAUUGCACAAUGGGGGAAACCCUGAUGCAGCGACGCCGCGUGAGUGAAGAAGUAAUUCGGUACGUAAAGCUCUAUCAGCAGGGAAGAAACACUGACCUUACGGUCAGCAGACGGUACCUGAGUAAGAAGCCCCGGCUAACUACGUGCCAGCAGCCGCGGUAAUACGUAGGGUGCAAGCGUUAUCCGGAUUGACUGGGUGGAAAGGGAGCGUAGACGGUGCUCCAAGUAUGGAGGGAAAUGCCGCAGCUUAACUGCGGAACUGCUUUGGAAACUGGCGAACUAGAGUGCGGGAGGGGUAAGCGGAAUUCCUAGUGUAGCGGUGAAAUGCGUAGAUAUUAGGAGGAACACCGGUGGCGAAGGCGGCUUACUGGACCGUAACUGACGUUGAGGCUCGAAAGCGUGGGGAGCAAACAGGAUUAGAUACCCCUGUAGUC